UAAUACGGAGGGGGCUAGCGUUGUUCGGAAUUACUGGGCGUAAAGCGCGCGUAGGCGGAUCAAAAAGUUAGAUGUGAAAUCCCUAGGCUUAACUUAGGAACUGCAUUUAAAACUAAUGAUCUUGAAUUUGGUAGAGGAUAGUAGAAUUUCCAGUGUAGAGGUGAAAUUCGUAGAUAUUGGAAAGAAUACCAGUGGCGAAGGCGACUAUCUGGGCCAACAUUGACGCUGAGGUGCGAAAGCGUGGGUAGCAAACAGGAUUAGAUACCCUGGUAGUCCACGCAGUAAACGAUGAGUGCUAGUCGCUGGGUCUUAUGAUUCGGUGUCUCAGCUAACGCAUUAAGCACUCCGCCUGGGAAGUACGGUCGCAAGAUUA
This 373-nucleotide ribosomal RNA is filed under the name uncultured Alphaproteobacteria bacterium. RNAcentral's name for it is "bacterial SSU rRNA". It matches the Rfam family "Bacterial small subunit ribosomal RNA", at positions 521 to 896 of the family's 1533-position model. The record is from RNAcentral. Lineage: Bacteria; Pseudomonadati; Pseudomonadota; Alphaproteobacteria.